Molecule: long non-coding RNA, 839 nt
Organism: Zingiber officinale
Lineage: Eukaryota; Viridiplantae; Streptophyta; Magnoliopsida; Zingiberales; Zingiberaceae
Exons: 3
Source: RefSeq, a predicted model, not a curated record
UCUCGUGCCCUAGCCAUCACCUUCGCUGAAUCGCUCUCCCUCUCCCUCCCGCGCCGACUCCUCCUUCUCCCUCUCUUCCGCACGAUCGACGCAGACGACCCUCUCAUCAUCGACGUUGAUCCGCCCUCUUCGGUCUCGAGUGAGAAGUGGUCCCUCUCUGAGUUUCCUCGCGCCGUCGCAGACGCUGCAAGACCCGAAUCUGGCAUUCCCUCUGCCCUAGCUUCGAUCCGCCAAUUUUCCCUUUCUCCCCAGUCGCUCACUCUUGCGAGCCCUAAUCAUCCGAUGUCGAUUAUCGACGCCCAUAGCCAAUCACCUGUCCAAGAUGAGGCACAACCUUGACACAAUGAGUAACCCAACACCUUGGUCCUAAUGCGUCGCCGAUUGCCGCAAUCAGUAGCUGCUUCUUCUUUCCCUGCAUGAGAGUUGCCGACUGAGGAAAAGAGGUGCUAUCUCUAGGGGUCCAACCAUACUUUUUCUUCUCCUCUCGCCUUCAAGGUGCGAUUGAUCACGGGUUUGGAGUCACUCGAUCACACUGAGAACAGCCAGUACCGGUUGAAGAAUUGGGGAUCAUUUGAGCUGUCAGACAGAGGCUUGUAGGGUUGUGAGCUUUUGAUUUGUUGCUAUACCUCAAGAUUGCCGAUACGUGACAGGAGCUUAGAUCAGAGGGCGUUUAGCUCGAUCUACAUUAAUGCGGGUACUUCUUACUUUGACUCUUUUUAGUUCUUUGAAACUUGGUGUAUGAGCUAUUAUUUUUGGAUAAGGACUGUUUUAUCUUGACUCCACUCGUAUUUUUCUUGUGCUUGAUACUUCCACUCAAACCUUUGAGUUAUUCGUUUCUA